Non-coding RNA from Sus scrofa (pig), 5513 nucleotides. NCBI's taxonomy places the organism in Eukaryota, Metazoa, Chordata, Mammalia, Artiodactyla, Suidae. The record is from RefSeq and is a predicted model, not a curated record.
GGGAAAGGUGGAGGAGAGAGGAGGGGGGGAGCGGGGAGGAGCGGCCGGGCCUGGGGCCUUGAGGCCCGGGAGAGCCGGGGAGCUGGGCCGGCGCGCCGAGAUGCUGCUGCUGCUGCUGGCGCCGCUCUUCCUCCGCCCCCCGGGCGCGGGCGGGGCGCAGACCCCCAACGCCACCUCAGAAGGUUGCCAGAUCAUACACCCGCCCUGGGAAGGGGGCAUCAGGUACAGGGGCCUGACUCGGGACCAGGUGAAGGCGAUCAACUUCCUGCCCGUGGACUAUGAGAUUGAGUAUGUGUGCCGGGGGGAGCGCGAGGUGGUGGGGCCCAAGGUCCGCAAGUGCCUGGCCAACGGCUCCUGGACAGAUAUGGACACACCCAGCCGCUGUGUCCGAAUCUGCUCCAAGUCUUACUUGACCCUGGAAAAUGGGAAGGUUUUCCUGACGGGUGGGGACCUCCCAGCUCUGGACGGAGCCCGGGUGGAUUUCCGGUGUGACCCCGACUUCCAUCUGGUGGGCAGCUCCCGGACCAUCUGUAGUCAGGGCCAGUGGAGCACCCCCAAGCCCCACUGCCAGGUGAAUCGAACGCCACACUCAGAACGGCGCGCAGUGUACAUCGGGGCGCUGUUUCCCAUGAGCGGGGGCUGGCCGGGGGGCCAGGCCUGUCAGCCCGCGGUGGAGAUGGCGCUGGAGGACGUGAAUAGCCGCAGGGACAUUCUGCCGGACUAUGAGCUCAAGCUCAUCCACCACGACAGCAAGUGUGACCCAGGCCAAGCCACCAAGUACCUGUACGAGCUGCUCUACAACGACCCUAUCAAGAUCAUCCUCAUGCCUGGCUGCAGCUCCGUCUCCACACUCGUGGCCGAGGCUGCCAGGAUGUGGAACCUCAUUGUGCUUUCCUACGGCUCCAGCUCCCCGGCCCUGUCAAACCGGCAACGCUUUCCCACGUUCUUCCGAACCCAUCCGUCCGCCACACUCCACAAUCCGACCAGGGUGAAGCUCUUUGAAAAGUGGGGCUGGAAGAAGAUCGCCACCAUCCAGCAGACCACUGAGGUCUUCACCUCGACUCUGGAUGACCUGGAGGAACGGGUGAAGGAGGCUGGAAUCGAGAUAACUUUCCGUCAGAGUUUCUUUUCAGAUCCAGCUGUGCCUGUCAAAAAUCUUAAGCGCCAGGAUGCCCGAAUCAUCGUGGGACUUUUCUAUGAGACUGAAGCCCGGAAGGUUUUUUGUGAGGUGUACAAGGAGCGGCUCUUCGGGAAGAAGUACGUCUGGUUCCUCAUUGGGUGGUAUGCUGACAACUGGUUCAAGAUCUAUGACCCGUCCAUCAACUGCACAGUGGACGAGAUGACCGAGGCGGUGGAAGGCCACAUCACCACUGAGAUUGUCAUGCUGAACCCUGCCAACACCCGCAGCAUUUCCAACAUGACAUCCCAGGAGUUUGUGGAGAAACUGACCAAGAGACUAAAAAGACACCCUGAGGAGACAGGAGGCUUCCAGGAGGCACCUCUGGCCUAUGAUGCCAUCUGGGCCUUAGCUUUGGCUCUGAACAAGACGUCUGGAGGGGGUGGCCGUUCGGGAGUGCGCCUGGAAGACUUUAACUACAACAACCAGACCAUAACUGACCAGAUCUAUCGGGCAAUGAACUCCUCGUCCUUCGAGGGCGUCUCUGGCCAUGUGGUCUUUGAUGCCAGUGGCUCUCGGAUGGCAUGGACGCUCAUCGAGCAGCUGCAGGGUGGCAGCUACAAGAAGAUUGGCUACUAUGACAGCACCAAGGAUGACCUUUCCUGGUCCAAAACGGAUAAGUGGAUUGGAGGGUCCCCCCCAGCUGACCAGACCCUGGUCAUCAAGACGUUCCGCUUCCUGUCACAGAAACUCUUUAUCUCCGUCUCCGUCCUCUCCAGCCUGGGCAUUGUCCUAGCUGUUGUCUGUCUGUCCUUUAACAUCUAUAACUCCCACGUCCGUUACAUCCAGAACUCCCAGCCCAACCUGAAUAAUCUGACUGCCGUGGGCUGCUCCCUGGCCUUGGCUGCCGUCUUCCCCCUCGGCCUGGACGGCUACCACAUCGGGAGAGGCCAGUUCCCCUUCGUCUGCCAGGCCCGCCUCUGGCUCCUGGGUCUGGGCUUUAGUCUGGGCUACGGCUCCAUGUUCACCAAGAUCUGGUGGGUCCACACGGUCUUCACAAAGAAGGAGGAAAAGAAGGAGUGGAGGAAGACCCUGGAGCCCUGGAAGCUGUACGCCACGGUGGGCCUGCUGGUGGGCAUGGACGUCCUCACCCUCGCCAUCUGGCAGAUCGUGGACCCCUUGCACCGGACCAUUGAGACUUUUGCCAAGGAGGAACCGAAGGAAGACAUUGACGUGUCUAUUCUGCCCCAGCUGGAGCACUGCAGCUCCAAGAAGAUGAAUACGUGGCUUGGUGUGUGGGGCAUGGGGGGUGGGGUGGAUGGGCUAGGACAGUAGGUCUGGAGGGAGAAGAGUCUUUGGAAAAAGAGGCAGAGAGCUUAUGUCAACCCAGUUCCGACAUCCUCUUCUUUGUCACUGCACUCAUCUUUUCUGAGAAUGGGGAGACUUGGUCUUUUGCUGUGAGAAGCUGAGGGUCCAAAGCAGGGGGCGUGGCAGGGCCUGCGGUUGUCAGAGGGACCAGUGGGGAUGCUCUUCCUCGUCUCCAGUCAGCUCCCUGGAGUAAGACCCAGCUGCUCUGGAGGUUUAGGCCACCUUUGGCCUUUUAAACACAGCUCUGACCUGUGAGCACAGAUGGCACACCUCCCUCCUUGUGGAAAGGCGUCUUCCCUCCUGGAGGGGAAGGGGUGAGGCCCUGGGGGCGGCCUAGGCCCUCGCUGGCUGCAGGCGCUCACACCCACCAUCUUCCCGUGUGACGUGGCUCUUGGUCCCUUGCAGAAGCAGUGAGGUCUGCGCCGGCCGGGUGGGCCUUGGGGGCAGUGGGCAGGAGGGGUGUGCUGGGUGGGACAGGGUGGAGUGGAGAGGAGGCCCCCCUGCCCCGCGUAGCUAUCAGAAGGAGCAGCAGCUGUGAGGGGCCUAGAGAGGAGGCAGUGAGAGGAGGUGGAGGUCCCAUCGUCCAGGUGACCCUUUCCUGCGUCCUAGGAAUUUUCUACGGUUACAAGGGGCUGCUGCUGCUGCUGGGUAUCUUUCUCGCCUAUGAGACCAAGAGUGUGUCCACUGAGAAGAUCAAUGACCAUCGGGCUGUGGGCAUGGCCAUCUACAACGUGGCGGUCCUGUGCCUCAUCACCGCCCCGGUCACCAUGAUCCUGUCCAGCCAGCAGGACGCGGCCUUCGCCUUUGCCUCUCUCGCCAUUGUUUUCUCCUCCUACAUCACCCUGGUCGUGCUCUUCGUGCCCAAGAUGCGCAGGCUGAUCACCCGAGGGGAGUGGCAGUCGGAGGCGCAGGACACCAUGAAGACAGGGUCCUCGACCAACAACAACGAGGAGGAGAAGUCCCGGCUGCUGGAGAAGGAGAACCGUGAACUGGAGAAGAUCAUUGCCGAGAAAGAGGAGCGCGUCUCUGAAUUGCGCCAUCAGCUCCAGUCUCGGCAGCAGCUGCGCUCCCGGCGCCACCCUCCGACACCCCCAGACCCCUCGGGGGGCCUGCCCAGGGGCCCCCCCGAGCCCCCCGACCGGCUGAGCUGUGAUGGGAGUCGAGUCCACUUGCUUUACAAGUGAGGGAGGGGGUGCGGGGAGGGGGGACAGGCCAGGAGGGAAGGAGAGGGAGCGGGGAGGGGCGGGAGGAGCGGGGGUCACCACCCCAGGUGGGAAGAACGCGCUACUGCAUCCCAUCUCUUGUAAAUACCUGCCCUCUGCGCCCCCCGGGCUGUCCGGGUCUCUGGGAGCCAGGCCCUGUUCUCGCUCAUUCGUUCAUCUCCUUUUCCAUCCCUACUUUAUAAUCCAGUGUGGACCCGGCUUGAAGCGUCUCACUCAUUGGCUCCUUGGCAGCCUCACUAGGACAUAUCCCCCCUCCCCUUGUUGCCACCGCAACCCCUCAGCUCCCUCGCCUUUGUGCUCUGCUCCCACCCAGCAGGGAUCUCCCCAAAGUGCUCUUUCUGCCCCAAUGGGGCCUCCCCAUGUCUCCCCGCAUCCUCAUCUCCUUCAUCCUCCUUGCCCUUCUGCACAGCCACAGGUUUUGUCCCUCUUGAAUUUUGCUUCUCCAGGGCACUCCUUCUGGUCAAGGCUCUCGCACUCCCCCUCUCUGUCCACCCCCCCUCCAUCUCGCCCGUGUCCUCCCCUCCCCCAGACCGGCUCCUGUGCAGGCAUGUGUUUCACAUGUGCUUUCUUCACAGCCCCCGCCGAGGCCCGUGUGCUCUGCUGAAUUCCUGUCACUCAUGGCUGUGCAUGCCCUGCUCAUGGUCACGGGUGUGCCCUUGUGAGGGUGUGUGUGGGCGGCGUGUGCCAUUUGUCUAGCAUGUCUUCCCUAUGUGCACACAUCAGGUUUAUCCAUGCACUUUCCCGGGUGCUCUCAGGCACCCUCUUCCCUUUGCACCUUACAAUCCUUGGAUUUUUCUGGCAGAGGUGUGUGCACUCACCCUGCACAUGUUAGCACUUUCCCCGGUUCACGUGUGGCGGCGCCGUCCGCAUCCUCUCCUGGUCACGCUGGGUUUCUGCUCGCAGCCUCCCUCCCCUCCUUUGUGCUCAGGGACCACCUUGGUCCACAAGCAGAUCAUCCCUCCCAAGAAUGCUCCCUUUGCUUUUGGGUUUUUCUGGGGGCAAGAGAGAAGAAAUGGGGGGCAGGUUUGGGGAGCUGUUUCCAGUGGAUAGUUGGUGAGGCUCCUGACCAAAGGAAGGCCCCUGACUGCUGAGAUGGACACAUGGGCCUGUGGGGCGGCCAGGGCUGCUGUCUCUUGGGGAAGGAGCUCCCCGCGUCUCAAUAAACCAGUGAACAGAGUGGCUCGGCCCCGCGUCCCUCACUGACCAGAGUGGGCUUCAGUCUGAGGAGGGAGGCUCGGCGGGCUCCAUGGUGAGGAAGAGGCACUGAAGUGGCGAGAAGGAAGAGGUGUUUUACUGACCCACGGAGGGCUUAGCAGGACUCGAUGGGGUGCGAUUAGUGAGAGAUGACAUUAGAGGGUAAGUGUGUGGGCCCUGGCGUCCAAUGGCCAGAGCUUCGGGUUCCACCACAUGCCAAAAAAAUUCCUUCCUCUCUGUCCCCCGAGUCCUCCUUUGAGAAGAGAGUCGUCGUCAUCACCACCGUCUGCAGGCUGUCACCAGUCCCUCCCCGAGGGGUGGCUGCACAUGGUUCUUGGCUCCUGGGGUGUGUUGGGUAAACACUAGCCACCGUCACUACUGUUUAAUGAGUUCUCUGACAGUGAUGGGCACAUUUUGGGAGCCUGGAGCAUGUGGCUGAACAGCUGUGAGGGCUCUUCUUCCCAGAAUUAAGAAUAACAAGAAAAUUACGGCUGCUAGGAGGCAGCACAGGAGAUGGCCCCUGAGCGUUUCCAGCCUUUCAAGUCUUGGAGAACUCUGAGCGCUGGAAGGAACUCGCUAUCUGAAUGAAAGAAAGUGCUGACUGGCCAAUG